GAUGAACGCUGGCGGCGUGCCUAAUACAUGCAAGUCGAGCGAACAGACGAGGAGCUUGCUCCUCUGACGUUAGCGGCGGACGGGUGAGUAACACGUGGAUAACCUACCUAUAAGACUGGGAUAACUUCGGGAAACCGGAGCUAAUACCGGAUAAUAUAUUGAACCGCAUGGUUCAAUAGUGAAAGACGGUUUUGCUGUUACUUAUAGAUGGAUCCGCGCCGCAUUAGCUAGUUGGUAAGGUAACGGCUUACCAAGGCGACGAUGCGUAGCCGACCUGAGAGGGUGAUCGGCCACACUGGAACUGAGACACGGUCCAGACUCCUACGGGAGGCAGCAGUAGGGAAUCUUCCGCAAUGGGCGAAAGCCUGACGGAGCAACGACGCGUGAGUGAUGAAGGUCUUCGGAUCGUAAAACUCUGUUAUUAGGGAAGAACAAAUGUGUAAGUAACUAUGCACGUCUUGACGGUACCUAAUCAGAAAGCCACGGCUAACUACGUG
RNAcentral lists this ribosomal RNA (497 nucleotides) under uncultured bacterium. RNAcentral describes it as "partial 16S ribosomal RNA". It matches the Rfam family "Bacterial small subunit ribosomal RNA", at positions 28 to 507 of the family's 1533-position model. The record is from RNAcentral.